Molecule: non-coding RNA, 362 nt
Organism: Talpa occidentalis (Iberian mole)
Lineage: Eukaryota; Metazoa; Chordata; Mammalia; Eulipotyphla; Talpidae
Source: the annotation of a RefSeq genome assembly
AUGGCCUGGACCCCUCUCUUCCUGGGCCUCCUGGCACACUGCACAGGUUCUGUGGUCUCCUAUGAGGUGACUCAGCCACCUUCAAUGUCAGUGGCCCUGGGAGAGACGGUCAGAAUCACUUGCCAGGGAGACAACAUUGAAAAAUAUUAUGCUCACUGGUACCAGCAGAACUCAGGCAAGGCCCCUGAGCUGGUCAUUUAUGAGGAUAACAAGCGGCCCUCAGGGAUCCCUGACCGGUUCUCUGGCUCCAACUCGGGGAACACGGCCACCCUGACCAUCAGCGGGACCCAGGCCGACGAUGAGGCUGACUACUACUGUGUGGCAUCAGAUAAUAGUUUUGGUUCCCACAAUGACACAUGACC